Molecule: ribosomal RNA, 430 nt
Filed under: uncultured bacterium
Lineage: Bacteria
Description: bacterial SSU rRNA
Rfam family: Bacterial small subunit ribosomal RNA
Source: RNAcentral
UGCGGAAUUUUAGAUAAUGGAGGGAACUCUGAUCUAGCGACGCCGCGUGCAGGAAGAAGGUCUUCGGAUUGUAAACUGCUGUGGUAAGGGAAAAAUGCUAUGUAGAGUGGAAAGCUACAUAGAGGGAUGGUACCUUACUAGAAAGCCCCGGCUAACUACGUGCCAGCAGCCGCGGUAAUACGUAGGGGGCGAGCGUUACCCGGAAUCACUGGGCGUAAAGGGAGCGUAGGUGGCCUAACAUGUCAACUGUGAAAACCCGGAGCUCAACUCCGGACUUGCAGUUGAAACAGGUAGGCUUGAGGACGGUAGAGGACGACGGAACUGCCAGUGUAGGGGUAAAAUCCUUAGAUAUUGGCAGGAACGCCGGUGAAGAAGGUGGUUUUCUGGGCCGGUUCUGACACUGAUGCUCGAAAGCCAGGGGAGCGAACGG